This is a long non-coding RNA of Triticum aestivum (bread wheat), 693 nucleotides long. RefSeq lists it as uncharacterized. The transcript has 3 exons. The record is from RefSeq and is a predicted model, not a curated record. Lineage: Eukaryota; Viridiplantae; Streptophyta; Magnoliopsida; Poales; Poaceae.
CUUGAAGAUCCUACAUAUGGUCCAAGAGUCCUGUUUUCGGCAAUAGAAAAGGUGGCCUGUCAGAAUUUGACAUGACGUUGGAAUUUAGCUCUGCAACUAUAUAUACUAAUAUGAAUUGAAAUGCGUUGCGUACAUUGAGCGGGAUGUUCUUGUCGAUCGGCCUACUCUUGGGAAGUGACGUAUCGGCGAGUGAAGGGAACCUGAACUCGUGCAUCAUCCAGUCGGUUUUGAUCCCUCUUGCUGCUCUGCCUUUGUAGAAGACAAGGGACUUCUUCAGGCCUACGCACCUGGUGUCCUCGGAGGAGUAAAUUGGCCUAUCUGUUCCCGUGGCUUUCCAGAACCCAGCUGCUGUGACCCGGUUUGGCCUCGCACUGUUGCGAUAUUUGCGGUCCCUUGGGCAGUAGAAGUACCACUCCGUCUCACCGCCGGUGCUCGCAAGCUCUGUUGUUGAGAAGGAACAGUCAAGUUGUUAGACUUUGCAGUAAGGAUGGAACCGGAACCCAGGCAUGAGGAUCUCAUCUGAUUUGACAUCAUCUCUGCUCUCCAUAUCUCACAAAGCUGCUGAGGUGAAGACAAUCUCCGGGAGAUGUGCACUACAGAUACUGCGAUGCAAUCUACUUCGUACACACCAUGUGUAUUUAUAUAUGUAUGUAUGAGGCUCGAGCUACAGGUCUGAGCGACUGGAUGAGGCCC